Molecule: long non-coding RNA, 450 nt
Organism: Anolis carolinensis (green anole)
Lineage: Eukaryota; Metazoa; Chordata; Lepidosauria; Squamata; Anolidae
Exons: 2
Source: RefSeq, a predicted model, not a curated record
GCAGCCUGCCGGCGGAAAGGAGAGAGACUUCGGAAAGGCCCCGCACGCCAAAGAGAGACGUUCCUCACGUGCACCCCCUCCACUUCCGGUCUGAAGCGACAUCGGACUUGGGCUAAGAAGGUUGCUUCCGACUCAUCGUCACCUCAUGGACCAGCCCACGCCAGAGUUCCCUAUUGGCCGUGGCCACCCCCAGCUCCUUCAAGGUCAAGCCAGUCCCUUCAAGGAUAUCACCUGGAGUAUGCACUGUUUGAUCUUCUUGCAGUCGAAAGCACUUCAACACCACAGUUCAAAUGUGUCGAUCUUCCUUCGCUCAGCCUUCAUUAUGGUCCAGCUCUCGCAUCCAUAGGUUACUACAGGGAAUACUAUUGCUUUAACUAUGUAGUCCUUCGUUGCCAGUGUGAAAAGAAAUAAAUGUGAUAACAAUAAGAAAUAAACAUAUUUAAAAACUUU